AUGGCCUACCAAGGCUAUGACGGGUAGCUGGUCUGAGAGGAUGGUCAGCCACACUGGGACUGAGACACGGCCCAGACUCCUACGGGAGGCAGCAGUGAGGAAUCUUGGGCAAUGGGCGAAAGCCUGACCCAGCGACGCCGCGUGGAGGAAGAAGGCCUUCGGGUCGUAAACUCCUGUUUGGGGAGAAGAACAAGAGAGAAGUUAAUAGCUUCUCUCUCUGACGGUAUCCCCGGAGAAAGCUCCGGCUAAUUACGUGCCAGCAGCCGCGGUAAUACGUAAGGAGCGAGCGUUGUCCGGAUUUACUGGGCGUAAAGGGCUCGUAGGUGGUUUCUUAGGUCUCACGUGAAAUUCCCUGGCUCAACCAGGGAGGGUCGUGGGAAACCGAGAGGCUAGAGGGCAGGAGAGGAGAGUGGAAUUCCCGGUGUAGCGGUGAAAUGCGUAGAGAUCGGGAGGAACACCAGUGGUGAAGACGGCUCUCUGGACUGUCCCUGACACUGAGGAGCGAAAGCCAGGGGAGCAAACCGGAUUAGAUACCCGGGUAGUCCUGGCCGUAAACGAUGGGUACUAGGUGUGGGGGGUUCGACCCCCUCCGUGCCGCAGUUAACGCAUUAAGUACC
RNAcentral lists this ribosomal RNA (617 nucleotides) under uncultured bacterium. RNAcentral's name for it is "bacterial SSU rRNA". It matches the Rfam family "Bacterial small subunit ribosomal RNA", at positions 260 to 868 of the family's 1533-position model. The record is from RNAcentral.